GAAAUUGUACAUACUUGUCCUGCAGCAUUAAGUCACUGAUGAGCAGAAGCUUGAAGCCAGCAAUAUUUUCCACCGCUAUGUUUAAAAAGAAGCCAACAAGCCCUACACUCAAUCCAAUAAGAAGCACAAGUGUCCACUUUAGGAAUAUAUAUUGAAAUAUCUGGACCUUUUUCCUAGAUCUCCAAUCUUGCUUGAAAAGGUCAUUUUCAAUAAUCCUGCAAAUAGAUGAAAAGCAUAACAGCAUUUAAAGCCUUCCCAACCAAUAUAUAUUGAAAUAUCUGGACCUUUUUCCUAGAUCUCCAAUCUUGCUUGAAAAGGUCAUUUUCAAUAAUCCUGCAAAUAGAUGAAUUAGCAAUGCCAAAAUCAGAGAACUCCAAUAAAAAUUUAGUUAAAACCCUUGACUAUAAUAUGAACAAUGAUCUUUUGACGGAACUGUAUACGUAAUUAGGAAACAUCAAUGCCGGAUACUUUGUACCUUCAACUUGAGUUAAAGUAUAUUCCUACCUAGCAAGCUACUGCUUCUGUGCAUUUAGGUUUUUCCUAAUUAAAACGGGUGAAACUAUUACAAAGUUGAUAGUUUUCUUCUCUGAAUCAGCUGUUAAUUACAAGCAGUAUCUGAGGGACAAUACCAUCCAAACAGAAUGUUUGACAGCACGACCUCAAAGCAAAAGCCCUAUGCAUAAUGAGACUCUGUCUGUUACCACACUUCACCAAGAACUUCAACCCUCAAAUUUUACGGAGUACUACCUUGUUAGAGCACUGAGAAUGACCAACUAUAAACAAACCCUCCGGUUUGUAAGACUAUGAUUUAGGCAUAAAGGUUCUUAAUUUGCUACCGGGGGGUCUGAGGAAAGGCCACACCCUAAGGAUGUGAUAUAGACAGUCUAUCCUAAAGCAAGCAUUAGUGGCUGCUUUUAUUUAAUUUUUCCCUUGUGAUUCGGCCCUUCUCCGAACCCGCGCAUAGCAGACCUUAGUGCACCGGGCUGCUUUUUUUUUUCUUUGCCAUCACCAAGCUACAAAAUUCUUUUGUCAACGCCAGAUUCCCUGAUCUAGUUAAAC
Molecule: long non-coding RNA, 1059 nt
Filed under: Nicotiana benthamiana
Lineage: Eukaryota; Viridiplantae; Streptophyta; Magnoliopsida; Solanales; Solanaceae
Description: long non-coding RNA (NBEN_LNC014871)
Source: RNAcentral